CAGUCGCCGCGGUAAAACGGAGGGUGCAAGCGUUAAUCGGAAUUACUGGGCGUAAAGCGCACGCAGGCGGUCUGACAAGUCAGAUGUGAAAUCCCCGGGCUUAACCUGGGAACUGCAUUUGAAACUGUCAGGCUGGAGUCUUGUAGAGGGGGGUAGAAUUCCAGGUGUAGCGGUGAAAUGCGUAGAGAUCUGGAGGAAUACCGGUGGCGAAGGCGGCCCCCUGGACAAAGACUGACGCUCAGGUGCGAAAGCGUGGGGAGCAAACAGGAUUAGAUACCCCAGUAGUCCCUGUCUCUUAUAA
This 301-nucleotide ribosomal RNA is filed under the name uncultured bacterium. Its description in RNAcentral is "partial 16S ribosomal RNA". It matches the Rfam family "Bacterial small subunit ribosomal RNA", at positions 509 to 809 of the family's 1533-position model. The record is from RNAcentral.